RNAcentral lists this ribosomal RNA (449 nucleotides) under uncultured bacterium. RNAcentral's name for it is "partial 16S ribosomal RNA". It matches the Rfam family "Bacterial small subunit ribosomal RNA", at positions 354 to 796 of the family's 1533-position model. The record is from RNAcentral.
GUGGGGAAUAUUGGACAAUGGGCGAAAGCCUGAUCCAGCCAUGCCGCGUGUGUGAAGAAGGUCUUCGGAUUGUAAAGCACUUUAAGUUGGGAGGAAGGGUAGUAACCUAAUACGUUGCUACUUUGACGUUACCGACAGAAUAAGCACCGGCUAACUUCGUGCCAGCAGCCGCGGUAAUACGAAGGGUGCAAGCGUUAAUCGGAAUUACUGGGCGUAAAGCGCGCGUAGGUGGUUCAGUAAGUUGGAAGUGAAAUCCCCGGGCUCAACCUGGGAACUGCUUUCAAAACUGCUGAGCUAGAGUACGGUAGAGGGUGGUGGAAUUUCCUGUGUAGCGGUGAAAUGCGUAGAUAUAGGAAGGAACACCAGUGGCGAAGGCGACCACCUGGACUGAUACUGACACUGAGGUGCGAAAGCGUGGGGAGCAAACAGGAUUAGAUACCCUGUAGUCC